This 1266-nucleotide ribosomal RNA is filed under the name uncultured bacterium. Its description in RNAcentral is "bacterial SSU rRNA". It matches the Rfam family "Bacterial small subunit ribosomal RNA", at positions 9 to 1270 of the family's 1533-position model. The record is from RNAcentral.
GAGUUUGAUCCUGGCUCAGAUUGAACGCUGGCGGCAGGCUUAACACAUGCAAGUCGAGCGGAGAUGAGGUGCUUGCACCUUAUCUUAGCGGCGGACGGGUGAGUAAUGCUUAGGAAUCUGCCUAUUAGUGGGGGACAACAUUCCGAAAGGAAUGCUAAUACCGCAUACGUCCUACGGGAGAAAGCAGGGGAUCUUCGGACCUUGCGCUAAUAGAUGAGCCUAAGUCGGAUUAGCUAGUUGGUGGGGUAAAGGCCUACCAAGGCGACGAUCUGUAGCGGGUCUGAGAGGAUGAUCCGCCACACUGGGACUGAGACACGGCCCAGACUCCUACGGGAGGCAGCAGUGGGGAAUAUUGGACAAUGGGGGGAACCCUGAUCCAGCCAUGCCGCGUGUGUGAAGAAGGCCUUAUGGUUGUAAAGCACUUUAAGCGAGGAGGAGGCUACUGAGACUAAUACUCUUGGAUAGUGGACGUUACUCGCAGAAUAAGCACCGGCUAACUCUGUGCCAGCAGCCGCGGUAAUACAGAGGGUGCGAGCGUUAAUCGGAUUUACUGGGCGUAAAGCGUGCGUAGGCGGCUUUUUAAGUCGGAUGUGAAAUCCCCGAGCUUAACUUGGGAAUUGCAUUCGAUACUGGGAAGCUAGAGUAUGGGAGAGGAUGGUAGAAUUCCAGGUGUAGCGGUGAAAUGCGUAGAGAUCUGGAGGAAUACCGAUGGCGAAGGCAGCCAUCUGGCCUAAUACUGACGCUGAGGUACGAAAGCAUGGGGAGCAAACAGGAUUAGAUACCCUGGUAGUCCAUGCCGUAAACGAUGUCUACUAGCCGUUGGGGCCUUUGAGGCUUUAGUGGCGCAGCUAACGCGAUAAGUAGACCGCCUGGGGAGUACGGUCGCAAGACUAAAACUCAAAUGAAUUGACGGGGGCCCGCACAAGCGGUGGAGCAUGUGGUUUAAUUCGAUGCAACGCGAAGAACCUUACCUGGCCUUGACAUACUAGAAACUUUCCAGAGAUGGAUUGGUGCCUUCGGGAAUCUAGAUACAGGUGCUGCAUGGCUGUCGUCAGCUCGUGUCGUGAGAUGUUGGGUUAAGUCCCGCAACGAGCGCAACCCUUUUCCUUACUUGCCAGCAUUUCGGAUGGGAACUUUAAGGAUACUGCCAGUGACAAACUGGAGGAAGGCGGGGACGACGUCAAGUCAUCAUGGCCCUUACGGCCAGGGCUACACACGUGCUACAAUGGUCGGUACAAAGGGUUGCUACACAGCGAUGUGAUGCUA